Molecule: long non-coding RNA, 605 nt
Filed under: Monodelphis domestica (gray short-tailed opossum)
Lineage: Eukaryota; Metazoa; Chordata; Mammalia; Didelphimorphia; Didelphidae
Description: lncRNA (ENSMODG00000033917.2)
Source: RNAcentral
CUGAACUCAAGGCUCAGGAUCUUCAAGUACAGAACCUGAGACCAGAUGUAUUAUAAGACUGGAUCACUAUUUCAAUAAACCUAUUUCUUUUUAGCUUCAAGACUUGAUUUUUAUUUUUUGUUUCUUAGCUAAGAAAUUUUUUGCCACAAUUUUGGUGACACCAAUAUAAUUAGGCAGAAAUGCUGACCCUAAUGGUUCACUUCUCCAAGAAGGGAUUGUCUUUUUGGAUGCAUGAAUCUGGGGCUAUUUGCCUUUGGUCCCUUCUUGAAGGGGAGAUCAAGGAAGAAAGAUUCUUUGCCCAUUUGGACAUCCUUCAAGCUGAUGAGAUUUGGGCAAAAUCUCCAACUAAUUUGGGACCAUUUAAAUCAGCCAUCCCAAUCUCUAUUGCCACCAAAGGAGUAAAAUCAUGGUUUAUACUUCAAUAUCUACUGUCUAAGGAGAAAGAUGCGCAGGAGAAUUCUAGAGGUGGAGCCAAGAUGGUGGAGUAGAAGGCAGCAAAAAGGAAGCACUAUGAGAAUCCUCUCCAACAAAACCUAAAAUAAGACCUAAAAAUGACGACUGGAGAAAAGAAACAAGAGGAAGAAAUAAAGUAACGUUCAUGCACA